RNAcentral lists this ribosomal RNA (253 nucleotides) under uncultured bacterium. Its description in RNAcentral is "partial 16S ribosomal RNA". It matches the Rfam family "Bacterial small subunit ribosomal RNA", at positions 524 to 776 of the family's 1533-position model. The record is from RNAcentral.
UACGUAGGGUGCGAGCGUUAAUCGGAAUUACUGGGCGUAAAGCGUGCGCAGGCGGUUUUGUAAGCCAGGUGUGAAAUCCCCGGGCUCAACCUGGGAAUGGCAUUUGGGACUGCAAGGCUGGAGUGCGGCAGAGGAGACUGGAAUUCCUGGUGUAGCAGUGAAAUGCGUAGAUAUCGGGAGGAACACCUGUGGCGAAAGCGGCGCACUGGACCAUAACUGACGCUGAUGCGCGAAAGCUAGGGGAGCAAACAGG